AGAAGCAGCCAUCCUUUAAAGAAAGCGUAACAGCUCACUGGUCUAAACAAGGGUUCCUGCGGCGAAGAUGUAACGGGGCUAAAGAUAUGCACCGAAGCUUAGGGUUGCAGUUUACUGCAGCGGUAGCGGAGCGUUCCGUAAGCGAGUGAAGGCGAAGGGUAACCGACGCUGGACGUAUCGGAAGUGCGAAUGCUGACAUGAGUAGCGACAAACAGGGUGAGAUGCCCUGUCGCCGAAAGACCAAGGGUUCCUGCGCAACGCUAAUCGGCGCAGGGUUAGCCGGCCCCUAAGACGAGCCCGAAGGGGGUAGUCGAUGGGAACCACGUAAAUAUUCGUGGGCCUGAAGAUGUGUGACGGAUCGUGGAAGUUGUUUUCUCUUAUUGGAUUGAGAGGGCAGCCAAGCGGUUCCAGGAAAUAGCCUCUUCACUAUAGACCGUACCCGAAACCGACACAGGUGGUCAGGUAGAGUAUACCAAGGCGCUUGAGAGAAGUAUCCUGAAGGAACUCGGCAAAUUGCCUCCGUACCUUCGGAAGAAGGAGGCCCCAUAUCGACGCAAGUCUUUGUGGGGGGCACAGGCCAGGGGGUAGCGACUGUUUAGCAAAAACACAGCACUCUGCUAAGUCGGCUUCAAGACGACGUAUAGGGUGUGACGCCUGCCCGGUGCUCGAAGGUUAAGAGGAGGAGUGCAAGCUCCGAAUUGAAGCCCGAGUAAACGGCGGCCGUAACUAUAACGGUCCUAAGGUAGCGAAAUUCCUUGUCGGGUAAGUUCCGACCUGCACGAAUGGCGUAACGACUUCCCCACUGUCUCCAGGAUAUGCUCAGCGAAAUUGAAUUCUCCGUGAAGAUGCGGAGUACCCGCGGUUAGACGGAAAGACCCCGUGCACCUUUACUGCAGCUUCAGAGUGGCAUUAGGAAAUUACUGUGUAGAAUAGGUGGGAGGCUUUGAAACAUCGGCGCCAGCUGGUGUGGAGCCAACCUGUGAAAUACCACCCUGUGAUUUUCUGAUGUCUAACCACGCACCGUUAUCCGGUGUUGGGACCCUCUGUGGCGGGUA
Molecule: ribosomal RNA, 1055 nt
Filed under: marine metagenome
Description: bacterial LSU rRNA
Rfam family: Bacterial large subunit ribosomal RNA
Source: RNAcentral